This 253-nucleotide ribosomal RNA is filed under the name uncultured bacterium. Its description in RNAcentral is "partial 16S ribosomal RNA". It matches the Rfam family "Bacterial small subunit ribosomal RNA", at positions 524 to 776 of the family's 1533-position model. The record is from RNAcentral.
UACGUAGGGGGCAAGCGUUGUCCGGAAUCAUUGGGCGUAAAGAGCGUGUAGGCGGCCCGAUAAGUCCGCUGUGAAAGUCCAGGGCUCAACCCUGGGAUGCCGGUGGAUACUGUCGGGCUCGAGUCCGGAAGAGGAGUGUGGAAUUCCGUGGUGUAGCGGUGAAAUGCGCAGAUAUCAGGAGGACACCAAUGGCGAAGGCAGCACUCUGGGACGUGACUGACGCUGAGACGCGAAAGCGUGGGGAGCGAACAGG